Long non-coding RNA from Cottoperca gobio, 3538 nucleotides. RefSeq lists it as uncharacterized. The record is from RefSeq and is a predicted model, not a curated record. Lineage: Eukaryota; Metazoa; Chordata; Actinopteri; Perciformes; Bovichtidae. The transcript has 2 exons.
GCGUCUCCUGAAAAGGAAGGAAUCCAUUAGCAACGAAAGAUAGAGGAGAGCUCUUUUGAAAACUUUUUGAUCAGUGGUAGGCAUUGCCCCUCAGCCAGCGAAUAUGCAUCUUCAAGCAUCAUCUGUGUGGGCAAUAUGCAAACCAUCUCCUCUCUCUCUCUCUCUCCUUGAAGACAGGAUUGCAGUCAAGUAUAACCUCUUCCAUUUCGACAUUUCUAACUGAGCUACAUCAUGUAAAACCACAAGGAAAUGUUGUUUUUGAAAGACAAAGGAGAGCACUGUGCUGUAAAAUGUUGCUGCGCCAUAACUGGGAGAGGCUCGUGCGCUCUAUGCGAGAGAUUCGUGUUUCUUUUCUCGGUGAAACAACAGGAAGUCUUUUCAACGACCGACACUGGGGUGAUUUUUUUUUUUUUUUACUCGAAUGGGUUUAUGUUUAACAAAAAGUAAAAUAGAAGAAAAACAGUCGACACUGCGUAAAAGGAAGGAAACGUUAAUAAAAGUGGCGUGUUCAGGCUGUGUGGUUGCUGGGCUGACUCGCCCUGGCAACAGCAUGUAAUCCGAGAGCUCUGGACGGUUGCCAUGAGAGCUCGAGCGUGCCGUUGCUCCCCCACACUGCCAUAUAAGGUCAUCAGGACUCCUCUGCAGCAGUGAAAAUAACACCGGGGGUGCUUCGGGCUUCCGCGCGUGCACUCUGGCUCGAGACAAAGACCGGCGGAUCAUGAGGGUUUUAAGUGCUACAGAUCAGAAAUUACAAACUAACAAGCUGCGAUUCUAUCGUUUGUUCGGUAAUGUAGUUAAAAAUAGAAAGUGGGGUUAUGGUGUUUUCAGCUGUGCCACAAUGGUGCCCAUUACGUACUCUAUUUUUAGUAUGUGAGCGUGUGUAUUUGCUUAUGAGAACACACAACCGUAGUCGGUGUGUCAAGAGGCCUGUUUUUCUUGUUAUCCACUAAUGCUCAUGGCUCUCAAGUGCGCGCGAUCCUCCAUUUGCAGGUCACGAGGCUGCAGACAGCAUUCCUUUCUGUCCAACCCUGCUUUCUUUCUAGAUUCUAGACUCCCACCCCCAGUGCAAUGGAGGCAGAAUUGUGAAGAAGGUUUUUAUUUAUGUGUGUAACAAAGGUGAACAUUUUGCGUUGAAAUCCGCCAAUGAGGUUAUUUAUAGGCCUUUUGUUUAAAAAAAAAAAAAAAAAAAAACCCUGGUGGGUUGCGCCAUUCAGCUUUGCGCGCCGCUGACAGACUGGAAUAUUCCACACAGAGGAUUGGCCUCUCUUCUGCAGGACAGCUGUCUCUCUGCACGGCGAAAAAAACUAUUUUUUUUAAACAAUUGUUCUUUGUUUAUUAAUUGAUGAAAAUGGGCUGUACACGUAUGGAUACUUUACACAACUACAGGACAAUUUAAUAUCCUUUUAUAUGCGUCAUUCAUAUGUUAGGCUGCCAGUUUCACCUUUGUAAGUCAAACAAGCACUCUUUUUUUUUUUUUUCAAUUAUUAUACAGGAAUUUUUCAUAGAUUGGACUACAACAUACCGUAUUGUAACAUAUGGGGCACAUGAGAACGGUUUUAUGGCUAUUUCUGUGGAGUCAGAAUAAUCAGGCUGACUGCCCUUUCUUUCUGUCUCUUUGUAUGUUCAGCCUUUUAUUCUGACGGAUUGUUCACUGAAUCAAAUCAGGUAUCCUUCAUGUUUUGUGUUGUUUUUACUAUUUUUUUUUAAUCUAUGGGUUAUUCCAGGAUUUUUCAUUGGUGGUACUGUAUUUAUUUUAUUUAAAACAUUGACUUCUUUUUUCUAGCUUUUAACUAUUUGCAUGUCUAGUGUAUUAUUAGUGUAACAUUCCACAGUAUGGUUUGUGAUUUAGUCUCUUUUACUUGGCAAUAUUAUCACCUGUGGUUUUCUGAGAUGUUUGAAUAAAUAGAAUAUACCCUAAUAAUUAUGUGUUAUGGUUGUUGAUACUGAAGCAGGUUGCUGUUUUUUUUGUGAUGGACUUGCAUAGCACAAAAUAUUAUUUUAGGCCCAUCUUUAAAACAGUAUUUAAUCUGUCAUGACAUAUUAGACUCAUACCACACUAGAUUACACAAUGAACACAAUUCAUGCUGCAGGGUGACUUAGUUGUAAGAGCAAUUUGCAAAACAAUCAAAUAUAUAGGUGAAAUUCCAUUUUAGUUAUUGCAGUAAAUGUGUGUUUUCUGGAAAAAAUACUUUAAAGAUAUGUUUUCUGAAAAUAGGCAAAGUUAAGGGCAGUGUCAGCUCAUCCUCUUAAAGGGACAGCUUCACCACUCAUACCCACUAACUGCAUAUUUUUCCACCCGUGACCGAUAAAAUUUUACCUUUUUUAAAUUUGACUCUGUAGCUUACCUCAGUUUGAGUUUGACUGCCUUUUAUGAGAGAUAAUUAUUCCAGACCAGACUCUGAAUCUAGAGAAAUCUCGGUUACCAAUACCAAUAACGUUUCUGUGUAUUCUGAUUAUGUAAGAUAUUUCCUUAUGAGCUGCAUCUCACUGUAACUGAUUUCUGUAUUAUGAGCAAUCAUCGACUUUGCUGAAACAGAUUCUCAAACCUAAUGUUAAGAUAUCAUUCUAUUGCAUAUAAUGUUCAUGAACAUUCCCAAUCACCCAGUUUAUUUGAUAUCCAGUAGUUAAAAGCAGCUUGACUGAAUGUAUAAGACUAGAGUGCAUUUCCAGUUGCUUCUGAUCAUUACUAGAUGCACCACAUCUGGCUCAAUCAUCAUUUAAACAUGUAUAAGCUAUUCCCCGUGCCCUUAAGCAGCCAAAUGCCUCACACACCCACAGCCUUAAAACAGCACGUACAUGUUUUCACCUAACCGUUAUAUCCAAACUAAUCACUUUAUUGUGCUAAUUUAAUCAGUUUGAUUCUGGAUAAAGAUGUCCGCACAUUGCACCCUGGGACAAGAGAGAAUAGUUUAUCCUGACGCCCCAAUCUGUGAUGUCACUGCUGUGUACAGCCAUACAGAGCGAACAGAGAAGUAUGACCGACAUAUUGCUUAUAAGUACCCCCGAGGAUUCAAAAUGAUCACAUUAAAAGUAAAAUACAGGAAUAAACAGGGUUAAAUAUUGUGCUUUUUACCAAUGGCAUGAUUAGAUUCCGCAUAUAGACUGGUUGCUGAAGGUUUAUUUAAAGGCUCAUACUUCAUAUAAAUCAUCCCAUUAAACUUCAAUGAAUUAUAAUUAAUCUAAUUGAUUCAAACAGCCAUGUCUGGCAAUGAGGAACUGGAAUUGGGGAACCCAAAAUAAAAGACAAAAAGAUCAAAUUAAAUGUAUUUGAAGAAUUUGAGAGAAGUGAUGCAGGUUUUUUCCUUUUAUGAACUCUUGACUUGUAUAUAGGCGUUUUAUUCUAAUUCUAUUGUUGGUCAUUGGUGUUUUCUAUACAUACACACCUAUAUUAUUUCACAUACAUUAUAUUAUUUACCUUUACGUGUACAGCUUUGCUGCCCUCGUUCCUAUAUCUGUUAUUCUGUGUAAGUACAUGCAAAAGAAGCAAAUUCCCUGUAUGUGUACAUGUACAUGGCCAAUAAAGAUGAUUCUAAUGUUA